Molecule: long non-coding RNA, 370 nt
Organism: Spinacia oleracea (spinach)
Lineage: Eukaryota; Viridiplantae; Streptophyta; Magnoliopsida; Caryophyllales; Amaranthaceae
Exons: 3
Source: RefSeq, a predicted model, not a curated record
GCCACUAAACCCAGCCCCAUCGCCCUCCUUUUCGUGCUCUGCUCAGCCGUGCUCCCUCCCCCUCUGUUCGUACCUCUCAAAAAAAAAAAAAAAAGGAGAGAAUCAGUUUCAAUUGAAACUGAUUCAUUUUCCUCCAACCCAAAUUUAAGUUGGGCCAACUUAACCAUUUGGGCUUUGGAAAUUGGACUCGGAGCUCAGGACGAACGAACUAAGGAAAAUUCUUAGCAAAAUCGUGGAAGUGAGGUACCGCUGGGAUCGAUGGGAACGAGUAGUGGCGAGGAUUUCACUUUAAUAAUUCCCACCUAGUUUAUGCCUUAAGUUUUAAUAGUUUAAUUAAAGACUUUUUUUGUAAUUUAUGUACCUUUAUUUU